UUUUGGUGCUUCUGGGAUAGAAAGAAAUGGAUUUUAGUUCGCAUUCAAUUGCCUUUUGACUUUUCUUCGCAUGCAUUUUGAGUAGGGCUGUACCCUCUGCCGUUUUUUCCCAGCCACAAAUUGGACAAGUUGGUCUUACUGAAGAACUGGCUAUAAAAGAAUAGGGUGAUAUUGAUGUCUACUCUGCAAACUUCAGGCCACUCUAUCUGGGCUUCCUGAUUGGGUGGGUUUUCAUGAAACUUAUAGCCUGUGCAAAGACAAACAAAGUUCUUGGUCUGCACAUGUGUGGAGAAGAUUCUGCCGAAAUUCUGCAGGGAUAUGCAGUUGCUAUAAAAGCUGGGCUGACAAAAGCAGAUUUGAUGCCACGCUAGGUAUUCAUCCUCCAGCAGCUAAGGAGUUUGUCACAAUGCGUACUCCUACUAGGAAAAUACGACAGAGCCUUGAGUCUGAGUGAACCCUUCAAGUUGUGCAAUCAUCUCAAGCAAUUUGUUGGGACAACUGGUGUCUGUCCAUCUUGUUUAUGGUUGAUGGAACUCAGAUUUUGACUUGUUGAAUGAAUGAUCAUAUGGAGCAAAGCUAUCCUUUGGGGUGCCACUCAUUAAAGCAAGCUACAGAAGGAGAUUCGUAAACACAAGAUUGUACUGUGAAUUUGUUCUGAGAACCUUAACAUAGGAUCCCCAUCCAAGAAUCUCUCAAUUUUGCACUAAAUAAUCCAACCCCUAUAUUUUCUCUUUUUUUAAAUGAUGGCCGUAGUUUUUAAUUUUCCUUUUCAUCAACUUCAGUCAUUUACAUUAAUUUUUUUGGGGGAGAGAAAGAAUAUCCUUGUUUGUUUUCUGGAAGAUGACUUUGGCAUUCAUUAAUAGCUGGCUUGUUUGACCCACGUUUCCCAAGAGUUAAAAUAUCAAAUAAUCAAUGGGGGCCUAUCAUGGUGGGCAAGUUAACUGUAGACUAUUCUAGAUGGCUUGAUGCUGAUUGUUCAAUCUCCAUUACCUUGCACAUUAGCUUAGUUGGUGGCGGAUGAGUCGAAUAAAAUAAUAGUUCAAGGAAACAGAGAGACACUGUACAACCUAUGUAUUUGUUCAUACAAGAAGAACCAUACAUCAUCUAUCAUCUAUGAAACUUCUAUGUUUUAUACA
This is a long non-coding RNA of Gossypium arboreum, 1136 nucleotides long. RefSeq lists it as uncharacterized. The record is from RefSeq and is a predicted model, not a curated record. The transcript is spliced from 4 exons. NCBI's taxonomy places the organism in Eukaryota, Viridiplantae, Streptophyta, Magnoliopsida, Malvales, Malvaceae.